ACCUCCGAAGUCAAGCAUCAUUGGGCGCGGUCAGUACUUGGGAGGGUGACCACCUGGGAACACCGCGUGCCGUU
Non-coding RNA from Caerostris darwini, 74 nucleotides. NCBI's taxonomy places the organism in Eukaryota, Metazoa, Arthropoda, Arachnida, Araneae, Araneidae. The record is from the annotation of a GenBank genome assembly.